UGCAAGUCGAACGAGGGCCCGGAGCUUGCUCUGGAGACCCGAGUGGCGAACGGGUGAGUAACACGUGACCAACCUGUCCUAGGGUGAGGGACAACCCGGGGAAACCUGGGCUAAUACCGCAUGAUGUCAUCGGAUCGCAUGGUCUGGUGAUCAAAGAGGGCCUCUGCUUGCAUGCUCUCGCCCAAGGAGGGGGUCGCGACGUAUCAGCUAGUUGGCGGGGUAAUGGCCCACCAAGGCUACGACGCGUAGCGGAUCUGAGAGGAUGAUCCGUCACAUUGGGACUGAGAUACGGCCCAGACUCCUACGGGAGGCAGCAGUGGGGAAUAUUGCGCAAUGGACGAAAGUCUGACGCAGCGACGCCGCGUGUGGGAGGAAGCCUUUCGGGGUGUAAACCACUGUCAGAGGGGAAGAACUGCAUCAGGUCGAACAGGCCUGGUGUUUGACGGUACCCUCAAAGGAAGCGCCGGCUAACUCCGUGCCAGCAGCCGCGGUAAGACGGAGGGCGCAAGCGUUGUUCGGAAUUACUGGGCGUAAAGCGCGGGCAGGUGGUCCGUUAAGUCGUUUGUGAAAAUCCGGGGCUCAACCCCGUGAAAUGCAGACGAUACUGGCGGACUAGAGAUCGGUAGAGGCUAGCGGAAUUCCUGGUGUAGCGGUGGAAUGCGUAGAUAUC
RNAcentral lists this ribosomal RNA (670 nucleotides) under uncultured bacterium. RNAcentral describes it as "bacterial SSU rRNA". It matches the Rfam family "Bacterial small subunit ribosomal RNA", at positions 56 to 698 of the family's 1533-position model. The record is from RNAcentral.